GUGAGCCUCGCAAUCGUUGUCAAAUGCCGUUUGCUCAGUUCGUUGUGUGUUCCGCGGCCAAUGCAAUCGGAGACGGGCAAUCGAGUGCUUCUGUGCGUUUUGCGGACGAUUUUCUGAUUCCUCCCGCGUACCCAAUUAUCGCGCAAGCAUUUUGAGUUUGAUUCCGCUGUGAAUGAGCAGAUUCAAUCCAAUAUCCAUCGCACAGGUAACUGUCGUUAGCCACUCGAAAAAAAAAAAAUCCCGUUCCCGGUGGUGAAGUGUGCAAAAAAGUCGAAAUAUCAAAUACCCACCACCUCAUCAAACACCCCGUUUUGUUGUGCGUGGUCGAGGAAAAGAGAAGGGUGUGAGAGCUGUGUGUUUCAUCGCCUCGGUGAGCCUGUGUGCGUGUGUGAAUGAGUGUGUAUUUUUCUAGUGAAGCAAAAACAAAUCCAAAUCGCACAACUCAUCACCGAACCCAUCAUCUGGUGGCCGUUUUCCACUUUCCUCGGAGAAAAAGCUUUUCCUUUGCGGCGGCCACCCAUUGCGACAGUUUGGGUUGUUUCUAGCAUUUUCCCGUGUGCCUCCUCGGUGCCUGCUGCGAUACGCGUUUCUUCAGCCGUAUAUGUUCUCGAAAAGCAUUUGAAAGAACUCGUGAGCACUUGCUGUUGGCACUGGCGUGGGAAUAUAAUCGUCAGAAUUCAACAAUCUUUACUUUGAGACCUUAAGAAGAGGAGGGUUUCCCGUUUGUGUCGCUGCAGUUUCAAAUUAUUAAUGUGUGAUUUAUGUAUUUUUUUUACUAAAGAAAAGUGAAAAGUGACGAAAUUGUGAUGUUUUCCGCUCGUUAAUAUAUAAAAUACCCCGGGAGCCACUAAUGUGCGAGAAAAGUGUGUGAAAAAUCGUAUGGUGUGUGUCUGCGCAAUGGUUAUUUAUGAUCGGUUAUUCGCUAUUGGUUCGUGUGUGUGUCUAAGAAUGCCCAGGAAAGUGUGAAAGUGUGUGUUAUGCUCGAUGUAAUCUGCACAUGCAAUAGAAGGUGAAGCCUGGCAUUUCCGGUGCACACAACGGUGUUGAAAAACCAGCUGGUGCGGAUCAGUGAAAACUAAGCGAUCAUCAAUCGUGUAUCAAUCAAUUCAGUGCUACGGAGUUACAUUCCACCCGGGAAAAAAAGAAGUCGCUGCUAGUUUCCAGCCCCCUCCGCCAGUGGUGGGUGGCGGCACCCCCAGCAAAACAUAUCUCCGCGCGUACCAUACCGCCGUGAAUGACACUAAUAGGGCCGGGCGCCCCAGGAAUGGCAUUUAUGAUGAAGAAGAAAAAGUACAAGUUCUCGGUGGAGCUGCACCUGGAGGAGCUGAUCGAGGUGCCGUUCCUGAACGCGAUGCUGUUUGCGAAGAUUCGCCUGCUGGACGGUGGCUCGUUCCAGGCGCACAGUACUAGGGAAGAGGUGAAAAACCACACAGUGCGGUGGGGUCAAAAGUUCGAGUUUCCCUGCAAAAUGACGUCGAACGCGUCGACCGGCGUGCUGGACCCGUGCACCGUGCGGAUAUCGGUGCGGAAAGAGAUCAAGGGCGGCCGGAGCUACCAGAAACUCGGCUUCACGGAUCUGAACCUGGCCGAGUUUGCCGGCUCGGGCCUGACGCCGCGCAAGUAUCUGCUCGAGGGGUAUGACGCACGGCACCGGCAGGACAACUCCAUGCUGAACGUGUCGAUACGCAUGCACAUGAUUCAGGGUGAUAUUUUGUUCAAAGUUCCUUCCCCGAGCCCGAAGUCGAAGACUGCCCUGCCCCAGGACAACAUGGCGCUCGGGCUACAGCCCACCGAUCCGGCGAUGGCGACGGUCGGUCCCGUCGUUACGCCCGUCGUGACGCGCGUUUCUACCAAAGACGAUCCGUCGGCCGGCUCCGUCGCGCCCGGGUUCGAUUCGCUGCCGAAGAAGAAACCCCCCACACAGGUCCUGCCGACGACGAUAGAGCACCAGCAAUCGUUCGACCUGGACCCGCAGUCGUUCAUCAUUACCGACUCCGGUAUCUCUGAAUCUUCCGAACCGCCAUCGUCCCUGCUGGACUUUCAGUCGAAUCUGUCCCUCGUUGCAUCGCUGCCGGUCAGUGUCGGUGCACCGCAGCAGACGGGCAGUGCCGCCCUGCCCGGCAGCCAGGUGGUACCGCCCGUCGGUACCGUGCCCGGUGCGAUCGAAUUAGGUCACUCGCGCAACUCGAGCAAUACUAGUCAAAUGUCCAAAGGUUCCGGCUACAGCAGCUUCUCCCACAGUCAACACUCGAGGCAAAGCUCCGAGGGAGAUUCCGGCCACCAGAGGUACCGUCCGGCGACGGCAACGGUUUACCAGGGCAAACCGGGCACGCUGCUGACGGUCACCGGCUCCAAAACCAUCACCACCACCAACACCAUCACCACGUCUAGUAGUAGUACCGCACAGUCUUCCUUAGCUAACGGGGGCCGUUUCGUAACGCUCGCUAAUAAGAAACUUCUCGCCAGCGGUCUCAGCAGCAGCACGAGCGCCGGCAGCAACGGCCGGCUCAACCCGACCAAGCAGCAGAUGAUGACGGCGAACCGGCUGCUGAUGAAGCUGCGCAUACCGCAGAGCCCGAACUCGGACUCGGGCGACGAGGUGUUUGUCACGCCGGACGUGACGGUGCUGUCGGAGGACGAGGGCGGCGCCAGCGACGAUCGGACCGAGUCGGGCGUGGAGGAGUUCGGCACACCGACGUCCGAGAUCCCGCUGUCGAAGCUGGUCAAGAUCAAGAGCAUGAACAAUCUGGCCGUACCGAAGGGGGCCAUGUUUUCCGACGAGGAGGAGGUGGGCGACCAAACGCACGGCUACUUCCUGGCAGCUGGAGGGCGGCCGGACGAGGAUCACCACCAUCUGACGCCGGGGCUGAACCUGAGCCGCAUGAAAUCGCUCGGCAAUCUGUCGGCGUACGAGCGCGAGUUUGGCCACACGCCGGUCGAUCUGCUGCAGUCGAAGCGGGACUUUGAGACGCGCCGGUUCAGCUUCGCCAAGAUGCGCUCGCUCACCGAUCUGACCGGGGGCGACGAGUCGGACGAUGUGUUGGUGCGGCGCCGCCGCCAGCUCAAGGCGGAGGAGAAAAGCUCCUCGGAUGAGUCAAACGCGCCGUCCUCGUGCCAGCUAUCGCCGCUCGGUGGAGGUGGUGGCGGCGGCGCCAGUGUCGAGCUGGCCAAUCGGUUUCUGCCCUUCCAGAUGCGCAGCUCCUUCCACAGCGGUGUGUAUCGGAAGCGGUCCGGCAUCGGGUACACACGGUACAUUGGCAUUGAUGAUGAUCCGGCGGCGGCCGGUGGUGGGACCGCUGCAUCAGCAACGCUCGGUCCGAGCAAUUUAACAAAGAUCAACUCGCUCAGCACGAUCCCGACCGUACUGGCAGCGGAGCGCGUGAACCAUGUGCCCUUCCUGACGCCCAACAUUGGCCGGAAGCGGUUUGCGUCCGCCUCGACCUACAACGCAACCCGUGCCAGCGCCACGAGCAGUCCGGACGAGAACGAUCCGGACGCGGCGGUACGACUGCCGGCAGCGAAACCGAAAACGACCUCACCAACCAGCUCGGUGGCGAAAGUGAUCGCCCGCAGCUCGAUACGGAGCAACAGCAACAAUCCGUUCGAGCGUAACUUCCGCAAGAGUGCCCCGAUCGGUGGGAUCGUGGUCGGGCAGCCCGACCCAGCGACCGACCGAUGUACCGGUGGGCUGCUGACCAGCUCCAGCUCGGUCGGCUCCGUCCAGCAGCUGCAGCAGGUCGGCGGGUUCUUCCGCCAGUCCGACAGCAACUUCUACAACAUCGUGCGCAACUACCCGAUCGGCAAGUCUUCCUCCGCCAAUCUAGAGUCACUGAAACAUCGCUCUUCCUACAACAACUUCCCGCUGAGCUUGAAACCUCAGCCGCAACAGCAGCAGCCGCCGCUCCAGAAGUCAUCCAAGGGCGGUGUGCUGACCGCUAAGGGGGCCGUCGAGCCGGCGAAGGGCAUUGCCGCCGUACCGCUGGUCGGUGUGAAGGCGGUGGCGGUGACGAAUCAUCAACCCACAGCAGCGGCAACGACGGCAACGGCGGGCAAUCGUGUCUACCAUAGGAACAUUUGUGGUUUGCACCGGCGCUUGCUGGACGGCAGCACCCGUCAACUAACCUCACUAACGCUAGCGACACCGUCGAGUUCCGGCGCGGGCACCACCUCCUCGUCCGGCUCGAGCGCCAUCAGCCCGUCGUCCACCGGUACGUCGGUCGGGCCCGGGAUGGCGGCGGGGUCCUCCUGCGGUUCCGGGUCCGGCUGCCUCCCGCCCGAUUGUACGGACGCGGUCGCCCUUCCACCCGGUGGCAAUGGAUUGUUGACCGAUCGUACGACGGCGGCGGCGGCGGCGAUGGCCUCGGCGACGGGGAUGGGACAGGCGGCGGCGGGUACGACCGGGACGCCACUGUGCGUUGCUUCAUCCUCAUCCUCAUCCGGGUUCGAUACGCCGUCGAUGCUCAACAAUGGCACUAACAACUCAUCAUCCCUCAAUCUACCAUCAUCGCUUGCGCUCCGACGUCCCAGUGCUAACAUAAAUCCCAGCUCCGGCUCGAUCCCGAUGAGCGAAACCGGUUCACUCGAUCGCAUGAAGUCGGCGGCGGAGCGAAGGAAAAAGGGCGCGGGCCACGACGGGGACAGCGGAAUGGCACCGACGCUGUCCGGGCGCGUGGAGGACACGCGCGUCAACACCGGGCUCAUCAUAGACGAGCUGCUGAAAAACACCAAACUGGACCAUUUAGAAGAUGCCGAAAAUCCCACCGGACUAGCACUGUACAUUAGCAGCGACGGUACGACGAUGGUCGGCAGCCACGAGGUGCAUUCGCGCAUGCCGGCCGGAGCAUUUAAGCAGGUUGUCAUGGAAACGCCCAGAUAGUAGCAACCGUAGCAGCAAAGUUGCUCUGCCAACAGCCGCUGCCGCCCAACAGUGGCCGCCACCACCGGCUGGCGGGUGAAAGUGGCGUCGCGUGUUGUUGCGGCACACGUUCGAGCACAGCGUGCAGAGUGCAUCAUCGUCGUCGUGCUUCAUCCAAAUUGUGUAUUUGCCAUACCCCCUCCCCUUCGGUUCACGCGAGUCAGUGUGUGUGUGUGUUGUCUGCGGUGCUGAACCGGCAGAGGCAUAUGAUACAAAACAAUACUACAGUGUGUGAUUAUUGGUUUAGGAAAGCGCGCCCGUGCCGUGUUGUACAGUAGUGUAGUAGUCGUAACUGUAUUUUCUUUUUUUUUGUUUCAUUUCCUUUUUUGUUGUCCGCCGUACGUAUGUACGAUGUUGUGAAAAACUUUCCCCCCCGAAUGUGUGAUUUAAUGUGUGUGUUUGUAUGUGCGAUAUGUCUGUAUGUGUAUGUAAAUUGUAUGGUCUCGGGGGUUUCGAUUUUCAUUUCAAAUCCGUAUCCUUUCUUCGUGACCACCGUGAAUGUUUACUUACAGCAGCAAAAAGCGAUACAAAAUACGCUCAUAUUGGCAUUGUCUGCAUCCAAGCAGAGAGCAAUAGUGACGUCGGGUUCAAUGAAGAAGCAGCAAUUUCUUAUAAAAACACACAAGAAACCCCUCCUUACCGUGCGAUACAUUGCAAAGCAAGCAGUUUGGCUAGGCUAGCUCACCUAAGAAAUUGCUCGUGUGUAGAAAAAAACGCACCGUGAAAAGGGAGGUUUGAUGAAAGGCGGGAAAGGAUUUCGGUAAUCAACCUUUGUUUUAAAUCAGUUCACUCUCUUCAAAAUGUUCUUUCGCAGUUUGAUUCCGCACGAUACAUCUUGUCUAAACAGGGGCACAAGCACAGCAAACACCAUUAGAUCAGAAUAGAGAAAGAAGAAGAAGAAGAAGAAGAAGCAAAUACCAUAAGCCAUUACGUUGUGAUAAACUUUAACGGGUUAAAGAGUUUUUUUUUUAUUUGAAUUCUUCUUUAUGCUUAAAAUCCUGUGCUAGCAUGUAACCUGCUGCUGCUCUUGCUGCUACACACAAUUACUGCUACUUGGGUGGUAUUUUUAAAAGGAUUUUAUAGUUAGGAUUGUGUGCAGUUUUUUUUUGUUCUUUGUGUGUGUGCAUCUGUUUUUUGUUUCUGUACAAACAUUUCCAAUCGGUGCCGCCGUUACGUUGAAAAGUAGCUUAGCGUGUGAUGUAGCAUAAAAACGAGCGCAUAAAUUGUGGAAGAAAGUGGCGAAGAAACAAUUGUUAGUUGCAACUGCUUUGGAAGAAUUGAUUAAAAAGAAGAAAGCGUAAAAACGGGCAAGUAAUAUUUAGUGAGGAGCGAACAACAGGAACAGCCUGCAAGUAAUAAAGAGACGUAAUAAACAAUAACAACACAAACGAAUCCCUCCGCCCUCUUCACGUGCUCCCCGAGGGGAUGGGAGGACACCGCUGGUGAAAAUAAAAACAAAUAAGAAAAAGGGAAAGCUCACUUACCUGAGAUUGUGGUUGCGCAUCGUUAGGACACAGGAAAAGAAAAGCAACAACAACAAAAACACUGUAUAUGUGUGCAUGUGUGUAUAGCAGAGAGCGAUUAUAUUACUUUAUUAUUGUAGUAUCAUUAGUUUUAAUCUUAUUUCUUAUACCUUUUAUAAUUCGUUCCAGUUAACGUAAAAAAUGUGAAGAAAGCAAAUGAAAUUUGUUUAUGUUUCAAGAAUGUUUUUUUAAAUUAUAAUUAUUACUUUGUAAAAUCAGCUGCGAAAAAUGAAUGCUAUCGCUGUGCUUUAGGUAGUAGUGGUUGGUUUUGUAUUACUUUUGCACGCACCGUUUAUGUUCCUAGCACUGGAUCCUUUAGGUAAUCAAAGUUUUUGAAUAAUCAGGUCAUCCUAGGGUCAUAUAGUAAGACAAAAUUAUAGUCUUUUAUUAUCCAAACUUUAAGCUUUGAUUGGGUGGAAGAACGCGUGCAAGCAUGGUUUUUUUAAGAAUGUUGCUCUGUUGUCCCUUUCUCAAACCAGAUUUAAUGUUUUAUUUAUUUCUUUUGUUCAGUGUAUAUAAUUAACUGGUGUAACAAACACACAAACAACAGCUGCUGUAUGUAAAGAGUAAACGAAAUGCAACACUGCGUCACGUGUCACUAACUCUAGUUGAUAGGAAAGCGAAAGGAGAUUUGUUGGAACUGUUCUAACACAGAGUGCAGUUACGAAUAGAAUCAAUUGCAAUGUAAAGUUGUAAAGAAGCACCAGCAGGGAAACAAGAUGAACAGUGGCAACCAACAGCACACAUACAUACAGCGUAAUGUCUCCAUCCAGUUUAUGAGUGUGCAUCCUAGGCAUGUAUCAUAUUUGCAAGUAAACAUUUUCAAAGCUCAAGGCGCGACAGCAAUGCAUAGCAAACACACACAUAAGCAAACAGUGAACGUAACUAGAGCGUAAUCAAAUAAUUCAGCCUAAUAGAAGGAAAUCAAGCAAGAAGAAAUAAAUUUAAAAAACGGUUAGGAAAAAUAAUCAUUAAAACAUUUCUCAACUUCGAAUACAAAAAUACCAUUCAAAAACUUUGGUAGCAAUUGAUUGUUUUCUCUUAUAUAGCGCUGACUGAUGCGUGGUUUAGGUAGUACAUACACACACGUAGAGGUUAUAACCUAUUCCAUCGUGUUUAAUGUAGUUGCAGCUAAAAAAAGGGAAAUGCAUUUGAACCAUUGUGCUGUUUGUUUGCUGAGUGCGCGAGAGUUUUUGUUUGCUCCUCUUCGCGAGCGUGUUUUCAUGGUAGUUAAAAUUCUAAUCUGUGCGCAAAACAUAAAAAGAACAAGACGACAAGAGAGAGAACAGAAACCAAUCAUGCAAAGCCUCGAGAUCAUCUCUGUACGCAGAGAGGUUCGCUAAACACCUGCUAAUAAGAUGUUAAUAAGUAAGCGGCAUGGAGAUGUGUGUAAUUCGUACUAGGUAAACUUACACCAUACGGUAAUGUCAAAGGGCGCGUGGAGACAUAUACACGGGAUGCGGAUAAAGUAAAACAAAAUAUACACAAACCAACAAAUCUGAA
This is an RNA transcript of Anopheles merus, 7941 nucleotides long. It is a transcript of the gene named serine-rich adhesin for platelets-like, with no coding region annotated. The record is from RefSeq and is a predicted model, not a curated record. NCBI's taxonomy places the organism in Eukaryota, Metazoa, Arthropoda, Insecta, Diptera, Culicidae. The transcript has 12 exons.